UUCCGGUUGAUCCCGCCGGACCUGACUGACUCUCGGAUUGAUACUAAGCCAUGUGUGUCCUUGUAGCAAUACAAGGCGACGGUUCAGUAACACGUAGCCAAUCUAAACUAUGGGACGGGGAUUAACCUCGGGAAACUGGAGGAUAAACCCCGAUUAGAUCAUUAUGCCCUGGAAACGGGUUAUGGUCCAAAUGAUUCCUCGCCGUAGGAUGAGAAUGCGGCCUAAUCAAGCUUGUUGGUGAGGUAAUGGCCCACCAAGGCUAUUACAGGUACGGGCUCUGAGAGGAGAAGCCCGGAGAUGGGUACUGAGACACGGACCCAGCCCUAUGGGGGCGCCAGGCGAAGAAAACUUUGCAAUGUGCGCAAGCACGACAAGGUUAAUCCGAGUGAUUCCUGCUCAAAGGAAUCUUUUGUUAGUCUUAAAAAUCACUAAUUGGAAUAAGGGGUGGGCCAAGUUCUGGUGUCCAGCCGCCGCGGUAAAAACCAGCACCCUCAAGUGGUUCAGGGAGGGAUUUAUUGGGGCCCUAAAGCAUUCCGUAAACCUGGCUCUGUAAGUUUCCCGGUUAAAUUCCAUUAAGCUCAACUAAAUGGCCUUGCCGGGAAAAUUACUGCAGAAGCUUAGGGAAGUGGGGAGAAGGUAGAACCGUACUCCGGUAAGGAAGGGGGUUAAAAUCCCUUUGAUCUUAUUUGAUGACCCCCCUGUGGGCGAAAGCCGGUCUACCCCAAAACACGUUCCGACGGGUGAGGGGAGAAAAGCUGGGGGGAGCAACCGGAUUAGAUACCCCGGCUAGUCCCAGCUGUGGGCGAUUCAGACUCGGUGAUGCGCUGGCUUGUGCCCAGUACAAAGCCGCAGGGAAGCCGUUAAGUUUGCCCGCCUGGGAAGUACGUACGCAAGUAUGAAACUUAAAGGAAUUGACGGGGGCCCCCUUUGGCGAGGCCUUUUUUGCCGGCC
This 951-nucleotide ribosomal RNA is filed under the name uncultured crenarchaeote. RNAcentral describes it as "16S rRNA". It matches the Rfam family "Archaeal small subunit ribosomal RNA", at positions 1 to 911 of the family's 1478-position model. Lineage: Archaea; Thermoproteati; Thermoproteota. The record is from RNAcentral.